This 872-nucleotide long non-coding RNA is filed under the name Citrus sinensis (sweet orange). RNAcentral describes it as "long non-coding RNA (CSIN_LNC004057)". Lineage: Eukaryota; Viridiplantae; Streptophyta; Magnoliopsida; Sapindales; Rutaceae. The record is from RNAcentral.
UAAAGUUGUUGGUAUAGGGCGUGUUUGGCAGCCCUCAUUACAUGGUAUUAGCACUCCUCAUUGUAUUAAAAUAAUACAAUAUCAUGUUUGGCAAGUAUUCCUCAUCGUAUUACAAUGUAGUAAAAAAUACUUGUAAUGCGGUCAAACCCGCAUAAAUCAAACCCGUGUGAGAGUCGGUUUUAUGCGGGAUUGUAAAUGAAAAAAGUUUGCUUUCAUUUUUUAUUUCUCCUUUUCACUAUUGUGGCUCUCCCUGCAUCUCUACACCGCCACUCCACAAAUCUCAGCUCAACACCACCACUGUCGUGCAACACCAGCUCUACAACCACACGAUCUGCCUCCACACAGCCACUGUCGCAUUACACCACGGCAACGCCUCCAGCUCUACUGUCUUUGCGAUCUGCCUUUGCGACGCAUGACACCAGUGCACGACACGCCUUCGCGACGCUCCACCAUCACUGUGAGUGGCUUUAAAAGAAGGAAAAAAAGAAAGAAACGAGAGUGAGAGCAGAGCAUAGCAGAGUUGUGAAAGAGAAAAGAGAGGGAAAGAAAAGAAAUAGAAGACAGACUUCUUAAGGGAGGGGGUUUUGAGAAAAAAAAUUUGUUUGCUAUCGGGUGGAUUUUGUUAAACUGGGGUGUCUAUAAUCUCCAAAUCUACAAAAAACUUUUUGGUAUAAUUAAGUUUAGGAUUUCUUAAGUACUUUACUUGAAUUUAUUUAGAAGUUGUUUUCUUGUGUUCUAGUUUAUGAAUGUAUGCUGGAUACAUGGCAAAAUAACUAUUCAACUGAUUGGCAUUUUCGUAGAAUUUGAAGCGAUUUAUCUGAAUAAAUUGAUUUAUCUGAAUAAAUUGCUUGGUUGGUGGCUUUUCAGUUUCC